GCCGGAGGGAGUGAGUGAGGCUGCCUUCCAGGGAAAUGGCAAGAACCGCCCUUUCCCCGGCUACUGCGCUCCGAUCACUUCUCAAUUUUUGUUCCCUGCGAAGCCGGGGGGGGGGGGGGAAGGAAGCGAAAAGAACGCGCGGGUGCCCGUGCCAGGGGAAGCGCGACGCUCCCUUCUCACGCGAAGCCGAGCAAAUGGUUAACUCGCCCUCGGCCGGCCGGGGCGCAGGGCGAUCUCCUGCCGUGGUGGACUGGCCGGCCGGCCGGCCGGGGGGUGGGGCGAGGUGGCUGCAAGCUGGACGGGCGGCGAGGGGUUUCACCGAUUGUCUGUCUCUUCCUCUCGCCAAGGAUCGGGAGGGUGCAACAGCGCGGACUCGAAGCGCGAUCCUGCCUGUUGCCUUGGCUUAGGGUCCCAAAUUUCUUCCUCAAAGGAUGCCGCCUCGGCGUGGGCGGGGGUCUUGGAGACAGGGGGGAGGGGGGCUUGGCGCAGGAGAGGCGGCAGGGAGCCAGCAAGGCCAAGAUGUCCCCAAGGGGAGCUUCUCCCGGGGGGGCGCGGCUUCAGAGCCAAGAGACUGGCGGUUCAUGGUUACCAGUGAUACCCAGGAGAAGUAGGUACAGCCAGGGGCAAGGGGCAAAGGGACGCCCCACCCACCCCACCCCAGCUUGGGUCCCCUUUUCCUUCAGGCAUCUUUCCAUUCCACUACUGGGUGCACCAUCCACUGUGGUUUGUGGGAUCCCAUUUCACUUUGGUUUGGACAGAACUGCAGCCCGACGGUUUCUCCUCCUUUUCCAGCCCCUGGCCCACCUUCCUCUGAGCUGCCUUGCAGUCUGGUCCUCAUGGGCUCCAGCAACCAUUUCCAUGGAUUCUCCACAGCGGAGGGUGAUGCCCACUGUCCAGGCAGGGUAGCUCAAAGGAAGGGAGGACCACUUGUCAAAGCAGGCAGAAAUAAGGUGGCAGUUCUAGGCAAAGCCACAUGAAACCAGAGUGGACUAUGUGCCCAUUGAUGGAAACAGGCACGAAGGGGAGAAGGAAAAGGAACGCAAGCGCGGAGCUUUGAGGUCUGGCCAUUUUACCUUGGUACAAGCGCAGAGCCUCAGGGUCUGGCUCAACCUCUUCUGUCCCUUGGUCCCCAUUACUUUUAGCUGCCUUGGCCUCCACCCUGCUUGCCACAGCAGACGCUAACAGCCAGUGAUUUACCAGGAUGCAAAAGAGUGGUUGUCAACAUUCUCUUGGCAUCCCACCUGUUUUGAC
RNAcentral lists this long non-coding RNA (1251 nucleotides) under Salvator merianae (Argentine black and white tegu). Its description in RNAcentral is "lncRNA (ENSSMRG00000000108.1)". Lineage: Eukaryota; Metazoa; Chordata; Lepidosauria; Squamata; Teiidae. The record is from RNAcentral.